RNAcentral lists this long non-coding RNA (928 nucleotides) under Apteryx rowi (Okarito brown kiwi). Its description in RNAcentral is "lncRNA (ENSARWG00000012703.1)". The record is from RNAcentral. Lineage: Eukaryota; Metazoa; Chordata; Aves; Apterygiformes; Apterygidae.
ACCUUCCCUCUUUUGACAAUGGAUGAGGCUUGUGCUGACUCCUCUCUGGACAGUGGGAGUGGUAAACCCUGGUUUACCACAUAAACAAUGUGGUUUCUGCACACUCCAUCUUUACAGGAGAAGGGGGUUGCUGUCUGGGUACCUCCUACACUAGCGGCUGGUGCAGUGCAAAGACAAAAGGCUGGGGUUUGAAUUGCUGCAAUAAACUGUGAUUCUAGGACUGUAUGUUCAUGCAGUGUCUUUACAAGCAGUGAAGUUUGAGCCAGUUGCUAGUUGUUAGGCAUAUACUGUGUAUGGGCAGAGAGCUGCCUGCUGGAGGACCUUGUUUCUGCACUGCAAGUGAGGUGUGCAAAGGAGCAUCGCAGUGAACAACUUCAACCUUAACUUCACCAGGAGGAAAACUGCUUAGAGCUCACCAGUGAUAGAAAACAAUAUUUGAUGAAGCAAACUCUGAGUGCUUGCAUGCUUACUCUCCAGAUGGGACCCACAGUCACUAGACUUCAUGUAAUCUGAAAAAACAGGAUUUUUUAUGUGAGUUCCAAGAAAAGGAGGUAUUUAAAAAUCCUUGGAGCCAAGGUUUGCUGCCUUCAGCAUGGAACAGCCUCUGCUGUUCCCGAACAAUGUAUGUUGUGGAGGCCGGAGAGAAGGGGAGAAGGGAAGAACUGCCAGCGGGCUAGACAAUGGUAGCAAUAAGACUGUGCAAGACUUGCCUUGCUGCAUAAAACCCCUGUGCAAGCUAGAGGAUGUCUGCAGAAUGGUUCCAGUUUCAGCCCAGGUAAAUGCUGAAGCAUCAAAGCAUUGUGCUGCUCUUGGACUGCAAUCACAGCACUGGGCCAGGAAGGACUUGGAGGAAAUCAUAUCCCCGUGCUUGUGUUUGACAUCCAGCAGCAGCUGGCAAUGGCAGGAGCAGCCACAGAAACAGUUGUAG